Cloeon dipterum is the source of this 622-nucleotide long non-coding RNA. RefSeq lists it as uncharacterized. NCBI's taxonomy places the organism in Eukaryota, Metazoa, Arthropoda, Insecta, Ephemeroptera, Baetidae. The transcript has 3 exons. The record is from RefSeq and is a predicted model, not a curated record.
AAAUAUUGCAUUAGUUGACUUCUGUUCUGCUACGAUGAAAGCAAGGAAGUUAUUCCUGACAUUAAAUUUUCUUACAAUCUAUUUGGUAAGCGCCAGAGCACAAGAUGAAGGUGUUUUGUCAUUAACUAUUCAAGCUAAUGUAAGUCAAAACGUAAUAACUAGCUCACAUAUUGUGUAUUUGGCCCAUGGAGAACAAAGAAUAGAAUAUUGUUAUCAGAACAACACGAGAGAAGCAACAAUUUUGACCUGUGGUGCAAGUGUUUCAAACAUUAGCAAUUCUUUGAUUCCGCAGACAGUAACUGUUUUCAUAAGUUACUCUAACCAAAGCGUAGAAUGUUCCAAUAAAAGUCCGAAUUCUCAAAACGGGAAAGACGAUGAGAGCCUAAUUAAACGUCAUGGAAUGUGUGGAGCUGGAACCAUAGCAAUUCGGGUGAUUCUUCUCGUCGCUUUAAUUAUAAUUUGCAUCUUAGCUGUUGUUGUCACCAUCAAAGGAUGUAUAGAUAAAUCACGCCACUCAAGAGAGCCACAAUUAUACUGGACUCAAAACGCAUGAACUGCUGUCUGAAUCUUCGAACUUGAACAAACCUUAAGCAAUAAUCAUUCCUCUCCUGCCUCUUGAAGU